GAUUAUAUCGUGCUGAAUACACCGGUUUUCCUUCGAUCACCGAAGUCAAGCAUCAUGGGACGCAGUCAGUACUUGGUAGGAAGACCACCUGGGAAUACCGUGCGC
Molecule: non-coding RNA, 105 nt
Organism: Caerostris extrusa
Lineage: Eukaryota; Metazoa; Arthropoda; Arachnida; Araneae; Araneidae
Source: the annotation of a GenBank genome assembly